Vicia villosa (hairy vetch) is the source of this 921-nucleotide long non-coding RNA. RefSeq lists it as uncharacterized. The record is from RefSeq and is a predicted model, not a curated record. The transcript has 4 exons. NCBI's taxonomy places the organism in Eukaryota, Viridiplantae, Streptophyta, Magnoliopsida, Fabales, Fabaceae.
UUGUCACUAACACAUUCUUUUAAAUACACGGUUUUUGUAAGUAGUUUAUGUUUUGAGUUUAAUUGUAGGGCUAUGUUCGACUGAAAGUGGAGGAGGGGCAGCAAGAAUGAUAGGUUUUGAUGAGGCUAAGCGCCAUGGUUCUGUGGGUCGGCAAUAAAAAAAUAUGGAGGCUAAGAUAGUUGACCCUGUUGCUGGAGAGGCAUUAUCUCCUGGCCAAAGAGAGAUUUGGAUUCGAGGACCAACAAUCAUGAAAGGUUACAUAGGAGAUGACAAGGCGACUGUUGAGUCAUUGGAUUUAGAGGGAUGGCUGAAGACCGACGAUCUUUGUUAUUUUGACUCUGAUGGUUUUCUAUUCAUUGUAGAUAGACUUAAGGAGUUGAUCAAAUAUAAAGCUUAUCAGGUUCCCCCGCUGAAUUAGAGCACAUACUCCUUACUAAUCCUGAAAUUGCAGAUGUCGCAGUAGUUCCGUUAGCUACCACAGGUGAGACUCUACUGUUGUUGUUGUUGCUGGUGAUUGCGACAUUUUGGUUGUUUUCAUGGUUGGUCAAUUCUUUGAAAUAUUUGUGUGAAUCAAAUAUGCUAAGCUCAGAUGCGGUAUCCUCGAGUGUGAGGUGAUGGUUAUGAUUAUUUGGUUGGAGAGUGUUUGGCUUUUGGGGGUUGAGAUAUGAUGAAAAAGAUGGAUCUCUAUCUCUUACAAUUGGGGAUUUUGGAGACAGGCUGCAUUCAAAGGUUUUCAUUGCUGUUGUUCUUUCCAUAUCUGUUUUCACACACUCUUUUUAUGCUUCUGCUAGUGAUGUUAUCAUAGUUUAAUAUAGUUGUAUGUAACUAGAAAAGCUGAGUGAAGAUGAAAUUGAAAUGAAUUUGAAAAAACUACUAGGUUGUGAUGUUGGUUGCCCAUGAUAUUCCUUUUGCUAUUAUAUA